CGGUGACUGCGGGCGGGCGGGCGGGGGAAUAGUGAUGGCGCAAGGGUUGUCCGGAAUGUAUGGGCGGAAAGGGCGCGGAGGUGGUCGGUGACGUCGGCUGGGAAAACCCAGGGCUUAACCCUGGGCUUGCAGGGGAUACGGGCAGACGAGAGGCAGGUAGGGGGGAAUGGAAUUCCCGGUGUAGCGGUGAAAUGCGCAGAUAUCGGGAGGAACACCGGUGGCGAAGGCGGUUCUCUGGGCCUGACCUGACGCUGAGGAGCGAAAGCGUGGGGAGCGAACAGGAUUAGAUACCCUAGUAUC
This 300-nucleotide ribosomal RNA is filed under the name uncultured Halococcus sp. Its description in RNAcentral is "bacterial SSU rRNA". The stretch from base 53 to 300 matches the Rfam family "Bacterial small subunit ribosomal RNA", at positions 547 to 794 of the family's 1533-position model. The record is from RNAcentral. Lineage: Archaea; Methanobacteriati; Methanobacteriota; Halobacteria; Halobacteriales; Halococcaceae.